GGGAAGUCUCACAAGCUGCAACUCAUGUACAAGAUCCUCUUACUCUAAGAGGCCUGGGAUCCUCCCCUCUUGCACAGUGAGGAAGCCCUUGUAUUGUGUUUGUGAAUCAUCCUAGAGGUGAUUGUUGCUUGGAGUUUCCUGCCACCUGGACAAUAAUGCCAAGCAAAGUGAGCAGUGCCAUUAAGCACUCAGGAGGGAUGGAACAAAGUUUCCUUCUUUUGCCUCAUACUCCCAAUGACCUGGCUUUCCUUUUAUCUGCUAAUGCAGCAAUGAGUCAAUCUUUGAAUAGUUGACAUGGAACAACUCAAAUCUAUAUUGCAUUGUCAUCAAGACAGAGCUUUGUGUAAGGUCCCUGUCUAAACAGAAGAAAACAGAAG
Molecule: long non-coding RNA, 377 nt
Filed under: Mus spicilegus (steppe mouse)
Lineage: Eukaryota; Metazoa; Chordata; Mammalia; Rodentia; Muridae
Description: lncRNA (ENSMSIG00000027179.1)
Source: RNAcentral